This is a long non-coding RNA of Bombina bombina (fire-bellied toad), 449 nucleotides long. RefSeq lists it as uncharacterized. The transcript is spliced from 2 exons. Lineage: Eukaryota; Metazoa; Chordata; Amphibia; Anura; Bombinatoridae. The record is from RefSeq and is a predicted model, not a curated record.
GCAAAACUUCACUUUCAAACAUCUUCCAUGUAACUUCCGGGUGCAGUUGACUAUUUAUGUUUUGAAAAAAUUCUUCUAUGUUUGAAACAUAUCUUUAGAAAACACCGUUCUUUCCCAACAAUCCGAUAUGGAGUAUCUUCAGUGCCCCAAUAUUAUUUGUACUUGUUCCUCACACUUGUGUUGGCUUGUCUGAAACCCUCAAUAUCUCUGAGACGUUCUGUCCCUUGUGACCGAUAUUCCAUUGUUGAAGAGAGGAUCAUUGCUGUGGCCCGUAAGAGGAAAAUCACAGUGGCCUAGGCGUGGGCUCUCCCUCUGAAGGCUAUCCCUGAAGUUGGCCUUCCUGUCUACACCGAAAUGGGUUCUCCUGUAUGCCCAGAAGUGUUCUUUUUGGUGUGCUCUGAUAUGGGUCUUCUCAUUUGUAAUGAAAUAAACCAAUUUACUUGUCCAGA